GGCUGAGGGAUGGAUGAAAAGUUGGUCUUUGCAGCAUGUGUUCAUGGCCAUAAGCUCUACCAGGAAAACAGGUUAUUCCUAAGCACAAAGGAGGACAGUUUUUCCUAUUAGUACUGUUUUCUUGUCCCUGGGCUAAAUGGCCUGAUGUGAACAUCUCCAGCAGGAGUAAGGAACUACCACACCAGUGUGACUCAGAGCAUCCUCUGGUUCACCCUCAGCCACCACACGCUGCCUUGGAUCAGGAUCAAGUUCACAGCUAUCAGAAGCAUCACUGUAAGAUGAGAACUGGAAUCCCAAGCUUCAGAUGAGAGUCUUUCUCUUCAGGCUACAGAGCUGUCUGCCUGGUCUGUCAUGGGAAGUCCUAUCCUGGACAGAAAGUGAUCUCUUUCUCUCCUCAGCAGCUGGAGGACUUUGUACACUAUCUGAGAAGAGGUACGUGACUCAGCAGGGGAGAUAUGGGCUGGACGGCUGCUAUCACUCAGGCUGAUGCUUUCCCUGCCAGACCAUCGAUCUCACUGCUACAUGGUGCUCUCCUGGAUUGCCAGGCCACGGUUUCAAAAGGUCUUAAAAAACAUAGCAACAAUACAUUCCAACACUUCCCUCUGAUUAUGGGAAAGCACCCUGCUCUCCAAGCCUAGACUAAAAACUCAUCCCCCCAAGUUGGUCUUUUAAAUGACUUGUGAGGCCCCCAUCCUGCGAUAACACCACCCUGCCUUCCCCAGGCAGAUUCCUCUACCUGCACGGCAGCCUUGGACUCUUUCUGGGGUUGUGCACGACCUCAGGGACCUAUCAGCAUGGAGCUCGCUGGAAGAUGGAUGGCUCCAAGAAAACUGAGGGAAGAGUCAGACUUGGUUGGAAAUGUUUAGCAACUUCUCUUGGGAAAGCUGGAAAAAGCCUGAAUAACUGACAGGAACAGGAGCAGGCAUAGACAGAUCUCUAAUGCAAACCCUGGCUAAAUUUGAAUAGUCCUGUGGACGUCAGUAAACCACAAAGAAAACGCUGUCUUUUAAUAGUGAUCGUGAGCAUUUCUACAUGUGCUGAAUGUUUAAUUUGAGAUUCUUGGGUAAAUUUAUAGGUAUUUACUUUUUUCAGUGCAUGGGUAAGCUGCGGUAUUAUGGAGGAUUUGGCAGCUGAUUCUCUGCAGAUAACAGCUGCAGAUCUGGAUCCAUAACCUAGGAAUCCUGAUUACUAGAUAAUUGCUCCACAACGCAUCCAGAGCAUAAAAAAAACAAGCCAAUAAAUCAUCUCUCUUUAAACAA
Pezoporus occidentalis (night parrot) is the source of this 1259-nucleotide long non-coding RNA. RefSeq lists it as uncharacterized. The transcript is spliced from 6 exons. The record is from RefSeq and is a predicted model, not a curated record. Lineage: Eukaryota; Metazoa; Chordata; Aves; Psittaciformes; Psittacidae.